GUAGUACUCCCUCCGUUCAGAAAUACUUAUCCGAGGAAUGGAUGUAUCUAGAUGUAUUUUAGUUCUAGAUACACCCAUUUAUAUCCAUUUCCACGACAAGUAUUUCCAAACGGAGGGAGUAUUAA
This is a non-coding RNA of Triticum aestivum (bread wheat), 125 nucleotides long. NCBI's taxonomy places the organism in Eukaryota, Viridiplantae, Streptophyta, Magnoliopsida, Poales, Poaceae. The record is from Rfam.